GGAUGUAAGGGUGAUCUGGCUGUGACAUCUGUCCAAAGUUGAUUCGGUUGAUCUGGCUGGCUAGGUGGGUGGUCCCCUUCCCCCUUCACCUCACCAGCUGCAUCCCUCCCGAAGCUGCACACUCAGUUGAAGAGGAUGACAUUUCCCAAUAGAGGAGGACAUUCUUCUGUCAAGGGUGUAUCGGUAGCUGCCCGCCCCUGCUAGAACCUCCAAACAAGCUCUCAAGGCCAGAGAGAGAAUAGCCAUGGAAAUGCUUUGUCAGUUU
This 265-nucleotide small nuclear RNA is filed under the name Jaculus jaculus (lesser Egyptian jerboa). Its description in RNAcentral is "7SK RNA (ENSJJAG00000009049.1)". It matches the Rfam family "7SK RNA", at positions 1 to 284 of the family's 331-position model. From Rfam's summary of the family: 7SK was discovered as an abundant small nuclear RNA in the mid-70s but a possible function has only recently been suggested. Two independent studies have found that 7SK RNA binds the CDK9/cyclin T complex (known as elongation factor P-TEFb). P-TEFb activates transcription by phosphorylating the C-terminal domain of RNA polymerase II. The record is from RNAcentral. Lineage: Eukaryota; Metazoa; Chordata; Mammalia; Rodentia; Dipodidae.